CGACUCUCGGCAACGGAUAUCUCGGCUCUCGCAUCGAUGAAGAACGUAGCGAAAUGCGAUACUUGGUGUGAAUUGCAGAAUCCCGUGAACCAUCGAGUCUUUGAACGCAAGUUGCGCCCGAAGCCAUUUGGUCGAGGGCACGCCUGCCUGGGCGUCACGC
This 160-nucleotide ribosomal RNA is filed under the name Reaumuria alternifolia. Its description in RNAcentral is "5.8S ribosomal RNA". It matches the Rfam family "5.8S ribosomal RNA". From Rfam's summary of the family: 5.8S ribosomal RNA (5.8S rRNA) is a component of the large subunit of the eukaryotic ribosome. The record is from RNAcentral. Lineage: Eukaryota; Viridiplantae; Streptophyta; Magnoliopsida; Caryophyllales; Tamaricaceae.